Molecule: ribosomal RNA, 253 nt
Filed under: uncultured bacterium
Lineage: Bacteria
Description: partial 16S ribosomal RNA
Rfam family: Bacterial small subunit ribosomal RNA
Source: RNAcentral
UACGUAGGGUGCGAGCGUUAAUCGGAAUUACUGGGCGUAAAGCGUGCGCAGGCGGUUCGUGAUGUCUGAUGUGAAAGCCCCGGGCUCAACCUGGGAACUGCAUUGGAAACUAGCGGGCUGGAGUGUGGCAGAGGGGGGUGGAAUUCCACGUGUAGCAGUGAAAUGCGUAGAGAUGUGGAGGAACACCGAUGGCGAAGGCAGCCCCCUGGGCUAACACUGACGCUCAUGCACGAAAGCGCGGGGAGCAAACAGG